RNAcentral lists this ribosomal RNA (426 nucleotides) under Triticum aestivum (bread wheat). RNAcentral's name for it is "partial small subunit ribosomal RNA". Lineage: Eukaryota; Viridiplantae; Streptophyta; Magnoliopsida; Poales; Poaceae. The record is from RNAcentral.
AUGGCAAUGGCGUCCACCAAGCCCCUGGCCCUCCUGCUGCUCGUGGUUCUGUCCGCGACGAUGGCCAUGCCCGCCGCCGGACAAGGCUCCUGCAACGGCCACAAGGCGCUCUUCCCCAACGGGUAUCUGCUCCCCAGCGGGAAGCACGAGUCGUUCGACGUCUGCGCGUGGACGGGGAGCGUGUCGGCGCAGGGCGCUGCCGUGGCCGAGUUCCACAUGGACCACGAGGGCGGGGCGUACUACGAGGUGAGCACCAACCAGGCGAGCAUGCCCGUCCGUGUCUCCGUCACCCCGCACGGCAGCCCGCUGCAGGGCCACUGCCCCACCGCCGGGUCCGACACCGGCAACCACUGCUUCGAGCACUCCGUCCCCGGCGGCAACUGCCACGGCGUCACCGAGAUCAAGAUCGUCUACUACAACCCAUAG